ACACUGAAGAGAGUAAACCUACACAGCACAAGAAGAGGAGCAUCUCUCCAUGAAUGCUGCACACCUUCAGUCACUGCAGGACAGUUUGAUGAAGUCUGGCAACAAACAGAACCACAAAUACAUGUCCUGCAUCAUCACGUGUACGCUGCACGCCUGCCACUUUCAUCAGAUGGACAGAAUUCACAUCAUCCCAGCAAAUACUGUUGUAUGUGACAGGAGAGACAUUAUC
This is a non-coding RNA of Epinephelus lanceolatus (giant grouper), 229 nucleotides long. The record is from RefSeq and is a predicted model, not a curated record. NCBI's taxonomy places the organism in Eukaryota, Metazoa, Chordata, Actinopteri, Perciformes, Serranidae.